GUCCAUCAUCUUCUGUGUCAGUGCAGCUUCUGUUCCCUCUAUUUGUUUUAGCCACUAUAUGAACACGGCAGGAACAAGAGGAAUAGAAAAAGAUGAGAAUACAGCAUCAUUUGGAAGAGCAUCAUUGAAAGUGAUGACUCCCUUACAACACAGUCUGGCCAGUUCCCACUGAAGUCAGUAGGAGCUUCACCAUUGACUUUAGCAGGAGCAAGAUCUGUUACUGAACGACAUGGACAAUUAUGACACGAGAAGGAAAAGGCAGCAGGAUAAAGUGUGUGUGUGUGUGUGUGUGUGUGUGUGUGUGUGUGU
Non-coding RNA from Chrysemys picta bellii (western painted turtle), 309 nucleotides. The record is from RefSeq and is a predicted model, not a curated record. Lineage: Eukaryota; Metazoa; Chordata; Testudines; Emydidae.